UUUUUCACAUCUGAUUUUAAAACCAGUAUGCCUUCCAUUAUCCUACAGAUGCCAGCACUUGAAAGCGGUAUUUUAGGAAAGUGAGCAUGAUAUAUGGAAGGAAUUACUUAAGGCAAGAAACUACAGGCAAGGAGAGAACAACAGCUAUUGCUGGAAUCACUCCUAAGACACCCACAACUUACAAGAUACCGCUACUGUUGAAGAGAUGCCAGUGAACUGAUAUCUGGAUUUUCUUAAUGAAAUCUAAAACCAAAAGUUAAAAAUGGACAUUUUAUUAAAAUUAAUAGUCUAUGAUAAUAUACCCAGAGUAUGAUUCACUGAGUACAGGAUACACAGGUAGUUACUUUAAGUGCUUCCCUCAGUCCUUAUGACAACAACCAGUGUCCAGAGGAAAAUAUGUACCACACUAUUU
Molecule: long non-coding RNA, 412 nt
Filed under: Bos taurus (domestic cattle)
Lineage: Eukaryota; Metazoa; Chordata; Mammalia; Artiodactyla; Bovidae
Description: long non-coding RNA NONBTAT019514
Source: RNAcentral